GCUGUCUUCCCAUUAUUUUUCUCGUCAUGUCAGCAUCUAUUUUCCUUUUCCCCGCAAUUCCCUCUCUCUCUAUAAACUCAACGUAGAGAAGUGACAAUGCAACUUUUCCAUCCUUCAUUUCCGUCCCGACGUUGUUGGUGGCGUGAGAGUAGAGAUGGAUGAUGCUUGAUUGGUGACACAGACAUGGUCGUGAGUAUAUCGACAAAACUUGCUUGUUUCUCCUUCUGUCUUGCUCUAUCUGAGGUUUCCCCUUAGCUGACACUAGAGGCUGGAUUUUCCGUCCAACAAACUCAUGUCUUCAUGUCUCAACUCAAUCAAAUCUACCGAAUAAUAUACAAAAUAUAGUUUCUCUUUUUAUGAUUUUUAUUUGUAAAUAUGUGGCGAUUUUUUAUUAGAUUGGGGCACCAUUGUGACACAAAAAGUUAGACGGUUGAUCUUGACUAACACUAUCUUUAUAAAAGAAAAUUAAGACUUCUAAAAAUAUAAGUUGCACAUUUGAAUAGCUUU
Lupinus albus (white lupine) is the source of this 507-nucleotide non-coding RNA. Lineage: Eukaryota; Viridiplantae; Streptophyta; Magnoliopsida; Fabales; Fabaceae. The record is from the annotation of a GenBank genome assembly.